AACGAACGCUGGCGGCAUGCCUAACACAUGCAAGUCGAACGAAGCCUUCGGGCUUAGUGGCGCACGGGUGCGUAACGCGUGGGAAUCUGCCCUUGGGUUCGGAAUAACAGUUAGAAAUGACUGCUAAUACCGGAUGAUGUCUUCGGACCAAAGAUUUAUCGCCCAAGGAUGAGCCCGCGUAGGAUUAGGUAGUUGGUGGGGUAAAGGCCCACCAAGCCGACGAUCCUUAGCUGGUCUGAGAGGAUGAUCAGCCACACUGGGACUGAGACACGGCCCAGACUCCUGCGGAGGCAGCAGUGGGGAAUAUUGGACAAUGGGCGAAAGCCUGAUCCAGCAAUGCCGCGUGAGUGAUGAAGGCCUUAGGGUUGUAAAGCUCUUUUACCAGGGAUGAUAAUGACAGUACCUGGAGAAUAAGCUCCGGCUAACUCCGUGCCAGCCGCCGCUGUAA
This 448-nucleotide ribosomal RNA is filed under the name uncultured bacterium. Its description in RNAcentral is "partial 16S ribosomal RNA". It matches the Rfam family "Bacterial small subunit ribosomal RNA", at positions 29 to 523 of the family's 1533-position model. The record is from RNAcentral.